ACAAGGGUGCUCAGUACGGCGAGUGAGCGGCAAAAGCUCAAAUUUGAAAUCCCCCCGGGGAGUUGUAAUUUGAAGAUUGCGUCUUGGAGGCGACCGUGUCUAUGUUCCUUGGAACAGGACGUCACAGAGGGUGAGAAUCCCGUGCGGCACGGCCCCCGGCUCCUUAUAAGGCGCUCUCGACGAGUCGAGUUGUUUGGGAAUGCAGCUCAAAGUGGGUGGUAAAUUCCAUCUAAAGCUAAAUACAGGCGAGAGACCGAUAGCGAACAAGUACAGUGAUGGAAAGAUGAAAAGCACUUUGAAAAGAGAGUGAAACAGCACGUGAAAUUGUUGAAAGGGAAGGGCAUGCCGUCAGAUUGUCAGUGUGGGUAAGAAGCGGGGUACAAAGACUGUGGAACGUGGCCCUCGGGUGUUAUAGCCGCAGUUCAUGCCCCGUCUCUUUCCGAGGCCUGCUUUGAGGACACCGACGUAAUGACGGUACGCCGCCCGUCUUGAAACACGGACCAACAGCAUAUCAAUAAGCGGAGGAAAAGGGUCCGUCUUGAACCUGGGCACCAAUUUAAUGGUAUUUCUUGUUUGUUUG
Molecule: ribosomal RNA, 580 nt
Filed under: uncultured Kodamaea
Lineage: Eukaryota; Fungi; Ascomycota; Pichiomycetes; Serinales; Metschnikowiaceae
Description: eukaryotic LSU rRNA
Rfam family: Eukaryotic large subunit ribosomal RNA
Source: RNAcentral